Molecule: long non-coding RNA, 16548 nt
Filed under: Homo sapiens (human)
Lineage: Eukaryota; Metazoa; Chordata; Mammalia; Primates; Hominidae
Description: non-protein coding lnc-ARF1-3:5
Source: RNAcentral
ACAAGAACCCAGGCGGGGCCGGCGAGCAGUGGGGGAGUGCUGAGGGAGGACCCGGGGUGGGGAGCUGAGGGAGGAUCCGCAGGGCUGAGGGAGGAUCCAGGAGAGCUGAUAGAGGUCCCGGAGGGCUGAGGGAGGACCCAGGGGUCCUGAGGGAGGACGCAGGGGGCUGAGGGAAGACGCAGGGGGGCUGAGGGAGGAUCCUCGGAGCUGAAGGGGCAUCAGCUGGGCUGAGGGAGGACCCAGGGGGACUGCGGGAGCACCCGGGCGGGGGCUGAGGGAAGGAGGAUCCGCGGGGCUGAGUGGGCACCAGCUGGGCUGAGGGAGGAUCCAGGGGGAGCUGCGGAAGGAUCUGCGGGGCUGAGAGAGGAUCUAGAAGGGGUGAGAGAGGUCCCAGGAGGCUAAGGGGGGAAUCUGCAGAACUGAGGGAGGUCCCAGGGGGCAGUGAGGGAGGAUCCAUGGGCGCUGAGGUGGGAAUCUAGGGAGGCUGAGGGAGGAUCUGUGGGGAUGACGGAAGUUCAAGGGGGGCUGAAGAGGCACGCAGCGGGCUGAGGAGGACCUGAGAGGCUGAAGGAGGAUCCGAAAGGCUGAUACAGCGGGGCUGAGGGGGGAUCCGCGGGGUUGGCGGGGGCUGAGAAAUGACCCUGUAGUUCACAGCAAAAUGGAGUAAUUUAUGUCACAACGUAACCAAAAUGGAGUGGGGAGGGCCCUAAGGAAGCAGCUGUCACGCAUUUCUGAAAUGCCAGAGAGGCUCGCUAUUACCUUGUAAACAGAGCUUAUUCCGGGCAUUUCCACUGGCCUGCAGUAUUCCAGAUGAGAUGUUUGGACCAGGGCAGGCAGAUAGCAUCGCCUAUCUGCCUCAGCGAACCAGGGUCACUUUGUGCAAUGAGUUCAUGAGACCAGGGCCUUUGUUUUGUGAAAGUUACAAAUAAGGAGUGAAAUCACUUUGUCAGGCCCAGACAAACAGGGCUGGGAAGAACAGGAGGCUCAGGCUUAGUGUCUGAGAUAAGAAUUAUUCGCAAGGACUUUCUAAAAACCCCACAAGAAACCCUUUUGUGUCAUUCACGGGUCUCCUACUUUGACAAAAUUUAGACCAUCUUUAGGACUGCAGUAAUUCAGUUAAGAUGCUCGGAAUAAACACUUGCCCAGUAAUGGCAGCGCCACCAAUGAACUGAGGACAACUUUGAGCUUUGGCGUUGGGCCCCUGGAACCAAUGAACUCUUUCUAAGCAGCUUCUGUGAACCGCUCCCUUUUCGCUGAUAAAAGUUCCCUUUUCACUGAUAAAAAGUUCCCUUUACCCUUCCCUCACUGGGAAUGCUGGUGGCUUGCUGCUGUUGAUGAAAAGAGUCAAACUUUGUAAAAUAUUUUAAGAGAUAUAUUCUGAGCCAAAUAUGAGUAACCAUGGCCUGUGACACAGCCCUCAGGACAGAGGUCCUGAGAACAUGUUCCCAAGGUGGUUGGGGUGCAGCUUGGUUUUAUACAUUUUAGGGAGGCAUGAGACAUCAAUCAAAUACAUUUAAAACCUACAUUGGUUUGGUUCAGAAAGGCAGGACAACUCGAAGCAGGGGUCAAGGGUGCUGGCUUCCAGCUUAUAGGUAGAUUGAAAAAUUUUCUGUUUGACAAUUGGUUGAAUUUACCUGAAGACCUGGGAUUAACAGAAAGGAAUGUCUGGGUUAAGAUAAAAGAUUGUGGGUGGGGUGCAGUGGCUCACACCUGUAAUCCCAGCACUUUGGGAGGCUAAGGCAGGCGGAUCACGAGGUCAGGAGUUCGAGACCAGCCUGACCAACAUGGUGAAACCUCCUCUCUACUAAAAAUACAAAAAUUAGCUGGGCGUGGUGGUGUGUGCCUGUAAUCCCAGUUACUCAGGAGGCUGAGGCAGAAGAAUCACUUCAGCCCAGGAGGCGGAGGUUGAAGUGAGCCGAGAUUGCGCCACUGCACUCCAGCUUAGGCAAUAGAGUGAGACUCCAUCUAAAAAAAAAAAAAAAGGAAAGAAAAAAAAAUAUAUAUAUAUAUGAUUGUGGAGACCAAAGUUCUUAUUUGCAGAUGAAGCCUUCAGGUAUUAGGCUUCAGAGAGAAUAGGUUGUAAAAUGUUUAUCGGACUUAAAGUCUAUGUUGAUGUUAAUGCCAGAGAGGUAUAAUGAGGCAUGUCUGACCCCCACUUCUUAUGGCCUGAACCAGUCUUUGAGGUUAAAUUUUAAGAGUUCCAGGCCAGGCACAGUGGCUGACACCUGUAAUCCCAACACUUUGGGAGGCAGAGGUGGGCGAAUCACUUCAGGUCAGGAGUUCGAGACCAGCCUGGCCAACAUGGUGAAACCCGGUCUCCACUAAAAAAUAUACAAAAAUUAGCCAGGCAUGGUGGUGCGCACCUGUAAUCCCAGCUACUCAGGAGGCUGAGGCAGGAGAAUCACUUGAACCUGGGAGGCAGAGGUUGCAGUGAGCAGAGAUCGCACCACUGCACUCCAGCCUGGGUGACAGAGCAAGACUCCGUCAAAAAAAAAAAAUUUUUUUUAAGAGUUCCCUGGCCGAGGAGGAAGUCCAUUUAGAUGGCUGGGGAGCCUUAUAAAUUUAUUUUUUAUUUUUGGUUUACACUUGAUAAAAACUUCAGCCGAAUUAAAUUUAAAGUUUAAUUGAGCAAUGAAUGAUUCACGAAUCACGCAGCCCCCAGAAUCACAGCAGAUUCACAGAGACUCCAGCACAGCCACGUGGUGGAAGAUUCGUAGACAAAAAAAGGUAAAUGAUGUACAGAAAUUGAAAGUAAAGUACAAAACAGCUGGAUUGGUUUCAGGUUGGUGUUUGCCGUAUUUGAACACAGUUUGAACGCUCAGCAGUAUAUGAAUAGUUGAAGUGCAGCCUCUGGGAUUGGCCAAGACGCAGCUAUUGUUACAGUUGCAUACUCCUGUUAGGUUUUCAAUCUAUCUACCUAUUAAGCUAGGUUGCAGUUCAUCCACAAGGACUCAAAUAUAAAAAUAUGAAGUCCUUCUCAGGCCAUAUUUAGUUUGCUUCAGCAACUACCCUCUUUUGGUCAUUUUCUCAAUUUUGAGAGAUUGACCAAAACUUUAGUUGUUGUCACUAUCACCAUAGUAAAUGUACUUAUUUGCUCCUGAAAUCCAGUGGGAAACAGUAGAACAAUGAGUUUUCCAAAGGUAGGAACAAAGACUGAGUAGAGGGUACCUCUUUAUGCUGGAACAUCCUGUUUACAGGAGAAAAAACCUGGUCUGUUCUAGGAUUUAUAUGUAUCCUUAGUUUGAUUAUGUCACAUUUAGCAUGAGUGACUCCAUUUUAGUUUGGUUUGUCCUGUUGGGACCUAGUGCAUGAGCUUAGUCCAAAACAAUGGCCUCCCAUAAUUGUGUUUUUUAAAAAAUUCCCCCUUUUUGGUCAGGUUCUUACUUAGGUGAGAGUGUGACCAAAACUUGGGGCCUUAGCACCACUCUCUGUUACCAUCAUUUUGUGUUUCUGGUGUCAGCACAUCGUUCAUAGGUUAUGGUAUCCUCAUGGUCACAUAUUUCUUUCAGCUCUUUCAUUCCAGUUGAAGAGAGACCAUUUGACGUUCUAGAGAUAGCUGUGUGCAAUCAUUUAAAAUCUUUGAGAGAAUACAGUGCACCAGGGAGACUAUUAUUAUGCCUAUUGGGAGCAUAAUACCAAGAGUUUGGAGUAUGCUCCUUACCCAGGGUCCCCAUAAACCAAACCACCUAAAAUUAAAUAGAUUAAAGAAUGAGUGAGAUGAAGGGUCUACUUGCUUGACUAAGUGAUCUUUUCAUUAAUCUUCUACAACUGAAUUUUUAUAAUCUACAUUUAAUGUAUUCCUCCAUAGGCCACAGCUGCCAGCAGCUGCACAGGUACUUUUCUAUUUAACUAAUUCUAUUAUUUAGCAUAACUUUCACAAGAGAAUUUAAAGUCUGUUGUGUAACGAUAGUCUUUACAGUAGAAUCUGCUAGAAAGCCUAUUAUGAGGGAUAUAUUUCUAGUUAUUGCCUAUUUUAUUCUAAACGAUGGAAAAAGGACCUAACAAAUGAUGUCCUUUUAGAAAAGUGAAGGCCCCCUGACAAUGUUCUCUUUAACCCAUGAUGUGGGUUAAGAGGAGUUUUUACUGAUUAUGAGGAAAUAUAUGUACAAUUAAAGUUUUUCACCUACAUUGGGCCUUCGUCUUGUCUUUAUCAAAGUAUAAGUUUAUUCAUGUAUAAGGCUGGCUACAAAAUCCUUCACAAAUAAAAGUAUACCUUAUAACUGAACAUAAUAGAACCCCUUUUCAUUUCUAUUAUUCAUAGAGGCAUAAACAAGGAAAAAAAUAUUCAAAGAUAAGAGUCUCAUUAUAGAAGCCUUGAUCCAUGAUCAUGGGAAAAGCUGUUCACAUCAAGGAUGCCAUCUUCUUCUGGGAAGAAACUUUCUGGGUUAGUUUUACCUUAAGGAUUCCAAUGGGUGUACAGUUCCAAGAGUGUAGAGGGACCCCUUUCAGUUGUUUAUGAACCCAAGGUUCAAGGUUCCAAAGUUUUGUUGCAGUGUAGAAGGACAGUCUUUCUCUGAUGUUCUCAGAAGAGUCAGUCUUCAGGUUCUGGAUUGUGAAGGGGUUGAUUGUCCUCAGUGAACCAUAAAAAGUUUUCUUUAUCUGGUGAAAAUAUACUCUGGCAUAAUAAUUAGCUGUUAUAACAUAAAACAUGCAUUGAAAAUGACAGUGGAAUGAAAUUCAUUUAUACAUGUUUAAAUGACCCAUCAGGUAGCCAAAUGUACCUGAAGGUUUGAUUACCUUCCCAGGAAUAUGGAACCAACCAUUGGUUUUAUUUUAUUUUAUUUUAUUUUGAGAUGGAGUCUCACUCUAUUGCCCAGGCUGGAGUGCAGGGGCAUGAUCUUGGCUCACUGCAGCCUCCACCUCCCGGGUUCAAGCGAUUCUCCUGCCUCAGCCUCCUGCGUAGCUGGGACUGUAGGCACCCGCCACCACGCCCAGCUAAUUUUUACAUUUUUAGUAGAGACAGGGUUUCACCAUAUUGGCCAGGCUGGUCUUGAACUCCUGACUUUGUGAUCCACCCACCUCAGCCUCCCAAAGUGAUGGGAUUACAGGCAUGAGCCACCAUGCCCAGCUGUGUUUUUUUUUUACAAGAAUCAUCUGCUUAUUUAUUUUACAAAGUAAUUAUUUAAAUUGAGUACAUUUGGGCACAGUAGAUAUUGGACAUGAAAAGUAUUUGUAUCAGAAUGGGCAUCAGAAAAAUAGCAACUCAUCUUACACAUAAUAACUAGAAAAUAUUAUUCUGUCUGAUCAUUUAAGUGUUACAAAUCCUGAGAAUGUUAUACACUGAACAAAUUAGGUACUACCUUAAAAUUAAAUCUUGCUUGGAAAUAAUCCUUUAAAAAUGAUCUGAGGUACAAAUCAUCUAUGUAUUAAACGUGAGUCUUUGACAUUAUACAAAGAGUUUAAACAAAUAUAUAAAUUACAGGUCAGUGGCUCUUAAAAUAGCUACCAGUCAGGUUCAAGGACACACUGUUCCGCAAUUUCCCAUAAGCUGGGGUUUUCCAUUGCAGCCUCCACUUGCUCUUUGUUGUUUAUCUGCAUACUUAUAUCUUCUGUUGAGUGGGUUCCUUCAGAAAUGUAGAUUUCCAACUUAUGUUUAAAUGGUAAACACUGCUGAAGUUUUAUUCUUAAGCACAGCCCCAUAAGAAUCGCCAAAUAUCAAUGAGGUACUCUUGGUGUAAACUUGAUAAUAACCAGAUAGUCUUCUUCAUUUAUCUCCUGAACUUCCAUAUAACUUUCCGUUACCAAUUCCAGUUCUUCUAAAGUAUUGGGCUUUUCUGGGUCCCAGAUAGUUCGAAUCAAAUCAUAAACCUCUAGCACUUUCUCUUCCAUGAUCCGGGGCUGCCGGGCAGCUCCCCACUCAAAGAGGCCCGAGAGCCACAGGAUUCUGCUCAGUGUCCAGGAAAGCAGCCUCAGCUCUGCCAUCCCUGGCAACUGUGGAGGUAUUGGUUUUAAACAGUUUUCACAAUUUACAAGUUAACCACAUCAGUAUAUUAAAUUUGGGUCAUUUUAUCUUUUCCAUGAUGAAUCAUAAAAUCCAGAACCAUUAAUAACAAAAGCCUUAGAGUCUCAAGAGGGACAAGGUGGCCAUCCUGGUUCUCCAUGAGUCCAUGCUUAACACUGGACUUAUGUCCUCUUGAAUACCAGUUGUUUCUCCAAUUUAUCAUAGGUAAUUUGACUCAGACCUUGGAGUUCAAAUUGUAUAUCUAAACAAUUUUAGUAUUGGCUGGCUUAACAUGAAAAUCUGGCAAAGUAUUUUCUUGGAAUUUCAAUAAUUUUUUCUUUUUUUGAGACAGAGUCUCACUCUGUUGUCCAGGCUGGGGUACAGUGGCAUGAUGUUGGCGCACUGCAGCCUCCAUCUCCUGGGUUCAAGUGAUCCUCCUGCCUCAGCCUCCCAAGUAGCUGAGAUUACAGACUUGCACCACCAUACCCAGCUAAUUUUUGUAUUUUUAAUAGAUACAGGGUUUUGCCAUGUUGGCCAGGCUGGUCUGAAACUCCUGACCCUGUCAGGUGAUCUGCCCACCUCAGCCCCGCAAAGUGCUGGGAUAACAGGUGUGAGUCACUGUGCCUGGCCUGUAUUUAAUUUUUUCUGUUCCACUUGAGUUAGCAGUUUUAUGCAAGGGAAUUUGGUUAUUUCUGUCGUGUAUAAUAACAACAUAAUAACCAUAAUUAUGAUUGACAAUAUAUAUUUAGACAUAUUAGAAUUUUAGAAAUCCUAUAUAAUUUUGGAACAUAUAUUAUUGUCCACUAAAAUACAAACUGAAGAUUAUACAUUAUUUUUAUUUUGACAAUGCUUCUAUGUAACUUAACAUGUUAAAUAAUUCUGUUUACCUCUCUUUUGGAGGCUUUAGGGGCCCUCUGUAGCAUUCCAAAGUUAGAGGUCAGAAAAGACCAUUUUGGGGCCAGGUGUGGUGGCUCAUGCCUGUAAUCCCAGCAUUUUGGGAGGCCGAGGUGGGUGAAUCACCUGACACCAGGAGUUCGAGACUAGCCUGGCCAACAUGGUGAAACCCCGUCUCUACUAAAAACACAAAAAAUUUUCUGGGCAUGGUGGCAGGUGCCUGUAAUUCCAGCUACUCAGGAGGCUGAGGCAGGAGAAUUGCUUGAACCCAGGAGGGGGAGGUUGCAGUGAGCCAAGAUUGCACCAUUGCACUCCAGCCUAGGCAACAAGAGCGAAGCUCCAGUCAAAAAAAAGAAAAAAAAAAAGAAAGACCAUCUUGGGCUGGGUAUGGUGGCUCACACCUGUAAUCCUAGUAAUCCUAGCACUAGCACUGUGGGAGGCUGAGACAGGCGGAUCACUUGAGGUCAGAAGUUUGAGACCGCCCUGGCCAACAUGGUGAAACCCCAUUUCUACUAAAUAUACUAAAUUUACCCAAGCAUAGUGGUGCAUGCCUGUAGUCCCAGCUACUUGGGAGGCUGAGGCAGGAGAAUCACUUCAACCCAGGAGGUGGAGGUCGCAGUGAGCCAAAAUCAAACCACUGCACUCCAGCCGGGGUGACAGGGCAAGACUCCAUCUCAAAAAAAAACAAAAACAAAAAAGCCAGAGAGACAGAGAGAAAAGACCAUUUUGAAGAUGAAAUUUGAUUUUUGGAAGACUAUUAAAUAUGUUAAAGGUUUAAGGCCAGGCACGGUGGCUCAUGCCUGUAAUCCCAGCACUUUGGGAGGCCAAAGCAGGUGGAUCACCUGAGGUCGGGAGGUCCAGAUCAGCCUGACCAACAUGGAGAAACCCUGUCUCUACUAAAAAUACAAAAUUAGCCAGGCAUGGUGGUGCGUGCCUGUAAUCCCAGCUACUCAGGAGGCUGAGGCAGGAGAAUAGCUUGAACCCAGGAGGUGGAGGUUGCGGUGAGCUGAGAUCGUGCCAUUGCACUCCAGCCUGGGCAACAAGAUCGCAACUCCAUCUCAAAAAAAAAAUGUUAAAGGUUUAAAACAUUUGAUAUUAUGAACUAGAAUUCCGGUUUACCAUAAGUCAUUCAUUUAGCCAAAAUGAUGACUCAAACAUUUUUCAAAAGGCAAAAACCUUUUACUCAUUAAUAGAAAGAAGACUUACCUUUCCAAAUAAUCUGUCUUGUGUAUUCCCCCCUCCCCUUUUUUUUAGUAGUGUAUUUAAAAGGCAAACAAAAUCUUUCAUUAUCUUUCAAUAUUACAUGAAAAUUUUGUUCAACAGAGAAAGCCAAAUUUCACCCUUGCAUUAGUGUACUAUUAAUGUCAACCACAGUUUUUAAUAUAACCUCAUAGACAAAUGUAUCCAAUCUUAAUCAGUUUGACCAUAAGGUGAGAUUUUCAUAAACCUUUUAUAACCCUUUACAAAUUUUUGUUAAAAAGCAGAUUAGUGCUUUAAGAAAACCCUGUUGUACUUUUAUUUUGACGUUCAAUUUAGGGAAAAAACAAAUAAUACCCCUUUAAAUUUAGUCAAUAUUUUCACACAUAGAAUUUCUUUUACAAGGUUAAUUUUUACAAACCUUCCACGAUUUCUUUAAACCUUUAAUUUAAUUUAAUUUAAAACAAUCCCUUAACCCUCUAAAGUAGGCAAAAAUUUAUAUUCCCAUGCCCUCUUAUAAUCUCUUAACCAAAAACACAUUUCAUUUUCCUUACACACCUCGUAAAACCUAUUUUUUUCAGUAGUUUCAAUUACAUGUUAUAAUGGUAAUUCUUAGCAACUUUCACUUUUGGUGCAUAAAUUUUCUUUUACGAAUCCUUUCACAACUUACACAGAGCAUCUAUGACAUGCUUGGAUUUUCUGACUUGUCUUAAACAUCCCUCUUUUAAAUAACCAGUCAUUUUACUUCAGGAUAAGAAUUUAGCUUACAAGACCCUUUCUUAUAUAAAGUCUCUUUUCUUUACAAACUUCUUUUCAUAGCUAGGGGGCAUGGCUAAUUCCACAUAUUCCCAGGCCUUAUUUAGAAUUUAAUGUCUCCAAAAUUAUUUGAACAAUUUUCAAAAGUCAAAGCAGUAUAUGACCUUAAGGCAUUAAGGAAACCUAAUAUCUGACCUGCAUAAUUUAGACUAAAUACUAAAUAAUAAAUAUCUGACCUGCAUAAUUUAGACUAAACACUAAAUACAUAAAUUUUAGGCUAAAAUAAAUGUCUUCAUUUUAUUAAUAAUUUUUUUUCUUGGAGGCAGAGUCUCGCUCUGUUGUCCAGGCUGGAGUGCAGUGGCAUGAUCUGGGCUCACUGCAAGCUCUGCCUCCCCGGUUCACGCCAUUCUCCUGCCUCAGCUUCCCAAGUAGCUGGGACUACAGGCCUGCCACCAUGCCUAGCUAAUUUUUUGUAUUUUUAGUAGAGAUGGGGUUUCACCAUGUUAGCCAGGAUGGUCUCAAUCUCCUGACCUCGUGAUCCGCCCCUCUUGGCCUCCCAAAGUGCUGGGAUUACAGGCGUGAGCCACCGCGCCACCUGGCCUAUUUUAUCAAUAAUUUUUAAGCUGUUUUUAUUUUCCAAAGAUUACUAAAGUUACAUGAAUAAAAGGCAUUACAGUUUUUAUUUUAAAAUAUUUAAGUGCUUAUUUUUGUUUAAGCCAAUUAGAGCUCUUUUAUAUAAACAUUACACACACAACAACACAUAUAUAACUACACAGACAGACUGAAGAAGAUUACUACAGUAGUUGUAAGAUUUUUUCCCAGUUUUUAAGUUUCUUAAUUGGAUUAUUCACUUUAGGGCGGAGUCCUCGGAGGAACAGGGCCAGGAAAGGGUCUCUGGUGCCUCCUGUUUUUCCCAAGGAGCUCCAGGCUGUUAGAGCCUGAAUAUCUGCUUUUAAUUAAGCUGACUUUUAACCAUAGAACUCUUUAAUAAAGUCUUUCUAAAAUUUCUUAUUACCUGACUUUAGCCAGGCCAAAUGGCUGAUAUUUCUGGCUUUUAAACUUUACCAAAAGUAACCUCAUAGGUGCUCUGAGAAGGGAAAAUUCAAGACAGUUGGUGGAGGGGAAGAGAAUUUAAAAAUGGCAAAGGUCACCCAAAUAUUAAUCAGAAAGGUUCAUCCCUUAAUCUAGGGAUUGAACCCUGAACCCGGGCCGCCAUUCUGAAAAGAGAAAGCAUGGCCACAUAAUUACAAGGUCAAGCUCCCAAGGACAUAACUGACCAAUUUGCUGAGCCAUCUUGUAAAGUGGGCUUAUGGGCGUCCUAAGCCUGUGUUCUAUCCUAAGGUACCCCUCUUUAUGACAGAACAACACAGAAAGACACGCAAAGCACACCAGAUUUGCUACAGUUUAAGACCAGCCUCACAAAUCCUUUCUUCCAUUAAUCAAAAUUUACAGAGGAGAUAAACAGUGAUUUUUACCAUUCAUUCAAUGAGUUUGCACAGAGAGAGAGAGAGAGAUCAGAAGUCUGACUGGUAAGAAAUUCUUACCCUUUUGCCGGCAUACCAGGCUUCUGGGUUCUCUUUCCCUGAGUGGCCCUAAUGACCCAGCUGGCUGCACCAUAGUCCUGGGGGCCAAGACACAACACAAAGGAAAAUUUUCUUUUUUCAUUCUGGCCAGAGCAAAAUAUGUGUGAUAAAACACAGACAUUAGCCACUCUGCUUAGCAGCCAAUAUCAAACUGGCAAGACUUAAAUUUGCCCCCAGAUGGGCCCCAUUGUCUUUAAUCCAACCUCUGACUAGGAGUUUCAACAUAUGGUCUCUGGGCAAGAUGGUUUCCCUGAGUAACAGAAAAGAUAGGAAAGGAAAGGUAGAGAAAUAAAAGUAUUACCCAUGGCAGGAUGGGGAAGGUGAAGAGCUCAGGAAGGCCAGAGCAAGACCGACUCUUUGCAGCAAUACUGCAAAGUUCAGGCGGCCGAAUGUCAGUAGCAAAGAUGUCUUUUCCAGCAGUCCCAUCAGCUCUCAAGUUUCCCCAUUUGGGAGGAAAAAUCUCCCUAUGUGCCACUAUCCUGUACAUACAUGCCUAAUCUUGUCACCCACAACCAUCAGCAAAGAGUACAAGGCAAAUUAUUCCAAAGAGAAUAGCAGUUAACAUUCCAUAGUGCCUAACCCGUUCUUAGCCAAAAGGGACUUUACUGAGAGCCCUCAUUUUAAAAUGUACUUCAAUGUGUUGCUCAUUCAGAACAUUCCACUGUAAGUUAUCUUUAGUAAGAUUUUGCCAUUUCUGUGAGACUUUGCUGCCUCCUAGGCCUAAUGUGUAAUCCAGAAGGAACUCAGUUUUCCAGAAAUUAAGAAUCCUAUUUUUAACUAAAAUAUUGGCUUUAUUCUCAGGUUCUCUUAAUUAACUUAGCCAAUGAUUUUUCCUACUUAAGUGCGCAAGAAAAAUGAAACAAAGGGGUAGAACACAAAAAUUCCUGUGAAUUUUCAAAAGCCAAAUUUUAUAACCCCUGCAAUAUUACUGCUUACUACCAGUUUGUUUCUGACUCAGUCAUAUGUAAAAGGCCUCUAACUGGAUCAAAGCCAGUUAAUUCCCGGAUCAAAUCCAUUCCUGUACCCAGCCCAGUUUGUGUCAUGACUUCCAAACCCAGUUUGAAUCAGGAAUUUGCUCAAAGAAACUCAGAGAGCUCAAAACACAAAUCUGUGGAGCUCUGAAAUCUGAGAGCUUACCCACAAUCCUCAGCUGCUCCAAGAGAUCAGUGGACACAAGUGGGUCCUGCAGGUACCAUGCAUAUUCACUCAGCACUCCUGGGGGUUGCUAGAGGCUCUACCUCGAAUCCCACUUCUGACACAACCUGAUAAAAGAAAAACUUCAGCCAAAUUAAAUUUAAAGGAGUUUAACUGAGCAAUGAAUGAUUUGUGAAUUGGGCAGCCCCCAGAAUCACAGCAGAUUCACAGAGACUCCAGUGCAGCCACAUGGUGGAAGAAGAUUUAUAGACAAAAAAAGGGAAAUGACGUACACAAAUCGAAAGUGAGGUACAGAACGGUUGGAUUGGUUACAGGUUAGCCUUUGCCUUAUUUGAACACAGUUUGAACACUCAGCAGGGUAUGAAUGGUUGAAGUAUGGCAUCUGGGAUUGGCCCAGACUUAGCUAUUGUUACAGGCACAUACUCCUAAGUUUUCGAUCUUGUCUACCUAUUAAGCUAGGUUGCAGUUCAUCCACAAAAACUUAAAUAUAGAAGUAUAGAGCCCUCAGGCCAUAUUUAGUUCACUUUAACACACUCUUCUGUGCAUUCUGAAUUAUAAUCCUCAUUUCUUCUCAUUCCCAAGUAAACUCAACAUAUUUAGAGAUAAUUUUCUCUACUUUUUUUUUUAGGUUGACAGUUUCAAAGCAGUUUGCAGGGAUUUCUCUUUGUCUUUAAAAACUCCCUUUUGUCCUGAUUUUCCUCAGGUGGGCUAUGACUUUCGUAGAUGCUGAGUGGAUUAAAACAAAGAGUUUUUCACAUUAUACUCUCAGAACACACUUUUUUAAAAAAAAAAUCUUUAAUCAUUGGCUAUCACAACAUGCUUCUGACACCAGAUGGGGAUUUCUCCCCACACACUAAGCAAGCAAUCAGUUCUGCAGCGGAUAGCAGCUCGGUUUCCUUUGUUCAGUUCGACUCUACUUGAAUGCCAAUCACAAGCCCCAGGUUGCUUUAGCUGUAUUCUGGCCUACCAGCUAUAAAGUAUGGAUCCUAGGACCCCCUUUGGAUUUGAUUAAUUUGCUAGAGCAGCUCACAGAAUUCAAACACUUAGGUUUCCUGGUUUAUUAUAAAGCAUACAGAUGAACGGAUGCACAGGGCGAGUUAUGGGGCUGAAAGCUCCACGCUUUCUGUGGGUCAGCCACCCUCCAUGAACCUCCACGUGUUCAGCUACCCAAGCUCUCCAAACCUAGUCUUUUUGGGGUGUUUAUGGAGGCUUCAUUACUUAGGCAUGAUUGACUAAAUCACUGGCCAUAGGUACUCAGUUUAACCUUCAGUCCCUUUCCCCUCCCCAGACAUGGGGAGGUGGGGAUGAGGCUGAAAAUUCCAAUCCUGCCUUGAUCUUUUCAGUGACCAGCCCCAUUCUGAAGCUACCUAGGGGCUGCCAGCCACCAGCCAACUCAUUAGCAUACAAAAAAUCACUUACUUAUAGAGAUUUCAAGGACUUCAGGUGUUGUAUGCCAGGAAAGACCUUUCACCCUCAAGAUUUGCUGAAAAUCAUCUGACAAAACAGCGAUGAAUAUAUAUGACACACAAAUUUAUUAAUAUGAUGGGAGAAAAUCUCAGAGUGACUACCCCACCACUGAGUGGGGUACAGAUGGUUACUUGCCCUUAAGGGCAAGGGAGAUGGGGAAGCAUAAAUGAUUUUAGGAGCUCAGUAAAUGAUUUUUAGGGGAGUUCAAUGGGCUUGAAGAACAUACAAUGGCCUCCACGAAGUCUGUUGGGCUCAGAGGGUAGACGGUGGUUUGUGACAUCUGUCCAGGUGGACUGACUUCAGACUUUCUCCCUGCAAUAUGAAUUCAGUUAAUAAAAACUCAGGGAAGGGACCAGAGAUAAUUGUUUCCUUCUUUAGGCAGAUAAGGGAGCUUCAGAGAACAACUUUAUCCUGUGCUUUGGGAGAGACAGAGAAUUGGGAGACAUGAGGUGGGGAAGGUCAGAGAGACCUUGCAGCUUCUUCAUUUCUGCAUGUCAAAGCGCCAUAUUUUGGGGAUAUCUGUUUCUGAGCCCCCAAAAUGGAGACAAAGCCUAAAUAUGUAUAUUUCACAAUAUCAUACAUGCAUACCUUUGGUUGCAAUCUUUUGCUAUUCUCAAAUAAAAUGUUUUCUUUUAGGAAGCCAGUCUUUCUAAGGCUGACAACCCAAGGGGGUGGCAUGGGUUGACUUAAGCCAGGCCUGCACAGUGGUGACCUAAGUCACUGCAGGGGCAAGUGGGGUGGGCCAGUGCAGAGCUGUGACAUAAGCAGGUGACUUUCCCUAUCAGAACUUUCAGUUAAGUCACUUCCAUGGAAGAAGGGGCUCUUCUAUGAAGAGCCUCUGUAACAGUACUGACUCCAUGUUAGAGGAAAGCUUGCUUGCUUGAAUACAAUUAUUGCUUUGCUUGAGUCUUUAGAUUAUUCACUAAAAACAGCCUCAGAAAAAGAGGACCUUCAACAGAGAUUUUUUAAAAUGUGCCAACCAACAGCUCUGGGAAUGAAUUGGCCGGCCUGACCAUACCCACAGAAGGCCACAAAGCAUUGACCAAGAAGGCAAGGAUUAAAUGCCCACCUGAGAAUGCCCACGUUUCACAAGAAUGUUUUCAUUAUUCUCCCUAAUUUCCCUUAAAAACCCCUGAUUUAGAAGCAUGACUCAGAAAGGUGAUCUUUGAACCCUAGUUCACUGCCUUCCCUGGGUUGCUGGCUUCUUGAAUAAAGCUAACUUUCCUUUCACCAAAGCUUGUCUCUUGAGUUUUUGCCUUUCAAGCUACAAGUGGCCCAGACCUGAGUUCAGUUACACCUCUGCUAGCAACAGCCAGCACCACCAAUGAACAAACACUGCCUGCAAUAAGCCCCUGUGAACAGUAAUUUAUGUUUCAAAAUAUCUUACAUGCACUUACUCUUUUUUGCCUUCAAAAGCUUCCUCUUGCCCCAACCCCUCAAAUAUGCUUAUGGUCCACAAAAGCACAUGCAUCCCAGAUUGCAAUUCCUUGGCUAUUAGCAAGUAAACUCUUUGUUUUGAGAACUGGUCUCUCUUGCUCAUUUUGAUACUGUAGGUAGUUAGGCAGACAUGAGCAGGGCAGGAGAGGCCCUCCCCCAAACCAGGAAUGUCAGACAAUCACCAGGUGAUAAUCAGGCAGUUGCUAAACUGUUGCUUUAAAAUAAUUGAUUGCAGCUGGUGCCAGGGAAAGCUGUGUCCUAAUAGAUAGAUAACACCUGAAGCUGUUAAUCAGCAGCUUCCAAAUAAGAUCUUAGGAGUUGGGUGAGUGGGGUCAAGCAUGAGCACUAAGAGGCAAAAUGGCAGAGUUUAACUGGUGUAUGACCUUCCUCUAGGAACACUCAACUGGUAAGGGAAGAAUGCCUCAGAUGAGCAUGCAUACAACUCCAGUAAACACACUGUGCAUGUGGCCCCUCCCAAGUGCUGGCAGGCCACUGAGCAUGUAGACCGCCCACCCUAAGGGAAGAAUCAGGGGAGAAGAGAUGCAAGAUCUCAGAAACAUGCCAAUGUAUAAGACCCCAAGUCAAAGGUCAAAUCGUGCACUUGAAUCUCUCAAGUUGCCCUCAUGGUCCUCUUUCGAGUGUACUUUACUUCCUUUCGUUCCUGCUCUAGAACUUUUUAAUAAUAAACUUUCAUUCCUGCUCUAAAAUUUGCCUUGGUGUGUCAAGAAUUCAGGUUGGUGCAGACCCAUACAGAUUCACCACUGCUAACAAUUUCAGGUUGACACAGAAAGGAGGAGCUUUUCCCAGAUCGGCAACCUCUGGAACCAUAUGCAGUACCCACCUGAGUCCAUUGCACUCUCAGCUUCCAUGAGUAAUCUUUAUUCUGUGUGGUUUAGUUCUAUCUUGUAUUCAAACUCCCUUUUGGUUGAACUCUCUGACUUUAUUCAGGAUUUGUUUCUAUUGACACUGCGUCCUUUCUUGUGUGUUCUGCACUGGAACAGCCUACAUGCAAAAGGCCGGGGGAGCUGAGAGGCUGAAGAAAGAGGCUGAAAAAUCUGAAAUCUCAGAAAAAAAAAUUUGAUAGAGACUUAUGUACAAAAGCCAUGACUCAGGCAGCCUGCAGACAGUGGAUCCCUGCUCUGUUACCCCCCAGACCCAGGCCUUCAUAAGGAAGGAAUAUGUAGGGCAAUUGAAGUCAACCCCGCAGGGAAAGACAAGAAUUUUCCAAAAGGCAGGAUUUAUGAUCAUGUUUAUGAUAAUGUGAAGAGAUUGUUUUGACAUAUAGCAGGAUGUGCGGUGAGUCCACACUCCUACACGUCCUAGAACUGGGGUUAAUCAGAAGUGAGCAUGGAAGACUAGCAUCCAAGAUGGAGGUGCUUUAGCCUGCACAUGGUGAGUAUUCUUUUGGUUUCAUUUUUGGCUGCUUGCAUGCAAAUUAGACCUUUUCCUCUUGUUUUCAUUGUUUCUAAACAUCGUUUGAGAGCAAAAUAACACAACAUUGUUGUACACGGUUGAACACUUAAGAGCCACUGGGGUUCUCACCACCAUUUUAUAACAGAUUCGAGUCUCCAAAGUCAAAGACUCCUUUGAAAGGACAAACUGGUCAGAUACAGGCAAUAUUACCACUGGGGGCAUACCAGUUUCAAGAAAAUUUCUGUGUAACAAGGGCUCCGUGGUCACAGGUCAGACAACUUAGGGCAAAGGCCAUCCACCAAGCAAAACAAGUAUCCUGUGAAAGGCAUACUUGUGAAAGCAGAACACUUUGUUCAAGAGUUAGUUUCCUCAAAGGACCAAUAGGAUUUUCUUUUUGCUUUUGAGAGAUUAAGAAAGAGAAUGGGAUUCCCAAAUUCUAAAGCAUGCAGGGCAACCCUCCUUCAGGACCCCAGCCAGCUCCAUGUCCAGACAUUCAGGAUCACCCUUGUGCACCCUUUUAAACCAAUGGGCAAAUUACACUAAGGAUAAUUUGGAGCUCCAAUGGCCAUUUGCAGAUCAAACUUCUGAAGCUUACUUUUCUGAGAACUAAAUUAGGAGACCAUGGCUAUAGGGUCAGUCUUAAUGGGAGACAUAUUACAAUUGGCAUCUUGAGGCUUCAAAUCACAUUCAGGACUCAAAAAUUAC